AUUGAACGCUGGCGGCAGGCCUAACACAUGCAAGUCGAACGAGUGGCGGACGGGUGAGUAAUGUCUGGGAAACUGCCCGAUGGAGGGGGAUAACUACUGGAAACGGUAGCUAAUACCGCAUACCAUCGGAUGUGCCCAGAUGGGAUUAGCUAGUAGGGUGAGUAACGGCUCACCUAGGCGACGAUCCCUAGCUGGUCUGAGAGGAUGACCAGUCACACGUGAACUGAGACACGGUCCAGACUCCUACGGGAGGCAGCAGUGGGGAAUAUUGCACAAUGGGCGCAAUCCUGAUGCAGCCAUGCCGCGUGUAUGAAGAAGGCCUUCGGGGUGUAAAGUACUUUCAGCGAGGAGGCGUUACCCGCAGAAGAAGCACCGGCUAACUCCGUGCCAGCAGCCGCGGUAAUUC
RNAcentral lists this ribosomal RNA (406 nucleotides) under uncultured bacterium. RNAcentral's name for it is "partial 16S ribosomal RNA". It matches the Rfam family "Bacterial small subunit ribosomal RNA", at positions 30 to 526 of the family's 1533-position model. The record is from RNAcentral.